GACGAACGCUGGCGGCGUGCCUAAUACAUGCAAGUUGAGCGAUGAAGAUUGGUGCUUGCCCCAAUUUGAAGAGCAGCGAACGGGUGAGUAACGCGUGGGGAAUCUGCCUUUGAGCGGGGGACAACAUUUGGAAACGAAUGCUAAUACCGCAUAACAACUUUAAACAUAAGUUUUAAGUUUGAAAGAUGCAAUUGCAUCACUCAAAGAUGAUCCCGCGUUGUAUUAGCUAGUUGGUGAGGUAAAGGCUCACCAAGGCGAUGAUACAUAGCCGACCUGAGAGGGUGAUCGGCCACAUUGGGACUGAGACACGGCCCAAACUCCUACGGGAGGCAGCAGUAGGGAAUCUUCGGCAAUGGACGAAAGUCUGACCGAGCAACGCCGCGUGAGUGAAGAAGGGUUUCGGAUCGUAAAACUCUGUUGGUAGAGAAGAACGUUGGUGAGAGUGGAAAGCUCAUCAAGUGACGGUAACUACCCAGAAAGGGACGGCUAACUACGUG
Molecule: ribosomal RNA, 497 nt
Filed under: uncultured bacterium
Lineage: Bacteria
Description: partial 16S ribosomal RNA
Rfam family: Bacterial small subunit ribosomal RNA
Source: RNAcentral